RNAcentral lists this ribosomal RNA (493 nucleotides) under uncultured bacterium. Its description in RNAcentral is "bacterial SSU rRNA". It matches the Rfam family "Bacterial small subunit ribosomal RNA", at positions 28 to 518 of the family's 1533-position model. The record is from RNAcentral.
GACGAACGCUGGCGGCGUGCUUAACACAUGCAAGUCGAACGGAGUUCCUCGGAUCAAGGCUUCGGCCAAGUGAACUGGAACUUAGUGGCGGACUGGUGAGUAACGCGUGAGGAACCUGCCUUUCAGAGGGGGACAACAGUUGGAAACGACUGCUAAUACCGCAUGACGCAUUCGGGUCGCAUGGCCUGAAUGCCAAAGAUUUUAUCGCUGAAAGAUGGCCUCGCGUCUGAUUAGCUAGUUGGUGAGGUAACGGCCCACCAAGGCGACGAUCAGUAGCCGGACUGAGAGGUUGACCGGCCACAUUGGGACUGAGAUACGGCCCAGACUCCUACGGGAGGCAGCAGUGGGGAAUAUUGGGCAAUGGACGCAAGUCUGACCCAGCAACGCCGCGUGAAGGAGAAGGCUUUCGGGUUGUAAACGUUCUUUAAGGGGGUAAGAGGUAGAAGACGGUACCCUUGAAUAAGCCACGGCUAACUACGUAGCCAGCAGCCGC